CUCACUCAUGCCCUCUCCCUCUAGUGUGGGAAAACAAGAGGAACCUCCAAAAUUUCCUAGCUGCACAAAGAAAUUGGUGGAAAUUCACUUCAUUUUGAAGCUCGGGGUUUCUAUGUGGUUGAUUUAAUCAAAAUAUUAAUGUGAUUUUUCUAGAAGAAGAAAAAGGGAAAAUAUAAAAAUCAUGCUGAUUGGAUUUGAAUAGAUUGUAUUGAUCAUAUAUGAAUAUUAUCUUUCAUCCAGAUUGGAAAGUACUGUUUUGAAAUCCAGUCCUUCACACUUCCAAACUGAUCAUUUUUAAUAAGUAAAUGUCAUUUUGGCUUUUUUUUUUUUUUUCUGGUCAGGAAGAAAAACAAGAAGUUUCCUUCCGCAAACUUCCUAAAAGGUGCCAUGUGUUUUCCUAAAACCAAGGAAAAUUCUAAAAUAGAACUACCAUAUGAUUCAGCAAUCCCACUUCUCUAAAUCUCCAGAAUCUCCAGGGAUUGGAACCAAGUGCUUUAUCUUUACCAUAUACCAAUCCAUGAAUCAACUCCAAAACAGAUCUCUAGAAACAGACAAGACUGACUACUGCCUGAAGGUUUCUGACACCAAGUUCCUGAGAUUGUUAUCUGGGAGAGAAUCAUUUGCAAGAAAAGAAUAACUUAUCAGAAAGGAGAAACUGCACAGAAGAUCCAAAGGCUCA
Molecule: long non-coding RNA, 679 nt
Filed under: Homo sapiens (human)
Lineage: Eukaryota; Metazoa; Chordata; Mammalia; Primates; Hominidae
Description: HSALNT0378446
Source: RNAcentral